GGUGGCUGAAAACACAACAUCUCGGCCAAUUUUUCGGCCAAGGGCGGUCCAUUUUAAAAUCAUUCCUGCAAGUGUAUAUUCGUCAGACGUAUGAUACGUCAUCAGAAGUGUCCACUUAAUUUGAGGGCGGAGGGGAUAGGGUGUGUCUUUUAAGUGUUUGGACCGUAAACUAGUGCCCAUAAUGAGUAUUUGUCGGAGGUUUAGAAAUCUCAGAAAUUGUCUAUAUUUUCCCGUUUCUUUCAGUCACCUUGUAAAUAUUUACCCCAAAACAAGCCUGGAAAUAUAGAUAAUACAAUAUUGUGUAUAUAAACAUCAUUAUGGGACAUGUAUGAAUGAAAAUAUAAAAACAGGCAUUAUAUAUGCUAGCCAUAAAGUUGUAAGGACCCAGCCGUAUAAAUUGAACGCACCCUCGUUCUUUAGGCCUUUCUCCGGUCAAGACGCGAGCGAAGAAGAUAAGCGCAGAAAUGAAGAAUGGUAUUAAAUGUUUUUAUGUCAGAAGUACAACCCAGAUGGGCUGGCAAUACGUGUUGAAAGUCAGCGAAUGUGGUUGAGAGGUUGACCAAGUCACUAAGUUUGCAAGACUGAUGCAUCAGCCAACAUUGAAAUGCGUAUAGAAUAGCAAGCAGUCUUGGUUCGGGAAUGCCGUGUAAUCAAGGAAAAUGGAGGGAAGUUCCAAACAGUCUUCUAGCAUUUGCGUGCUCAGGCUCCC
Molecule: long non-coding RNA, 709 nt
Organism: Salvelinus sp. IW2-2015
Lineage: Eukaryota; Metazoa; Chordata; Actinopteri; Salmoniformes; Salmonidae
Source: RefSeq, a predicted model, not a curated record